UUAGUGGCGGACGGGUGAGUAACGCGUGGAAAACCUGCCGUAUACUGGGGGAUAACACUUAGAAAUAGGUGCUAAUACCGCAUAAGCGCACGGCUUCGCAUGAAGCGGUGUGAAAAACUCUGGUGGUAUACGAUGGUUCCGCGUCUGAUUAGCUAGUUGGUGGGGUAAUGGCCUACCAAGGCAACGAUCAGUAGCCGGCCUGAGAGGGUGAACGGCCACAUUGGGACUGAGACACGGCCCAAACUCCUACGGGAGGCAGCAG
Molecule: ribosomal RNA, 262 nt
Filed under: uncultured bacterium
Lineage: Bacteria
Description: partial 16S ribosomal RNA
Rfam family: Bacterial small subunit ribosomal RNA
Source: RNAcentral